GGGAAGCAUGGCCUUCGCCAGGGGGCCCCCGAGGACUGAGCCCGCCUGCUGAGCCCCCCCCCCCCAGAUGGGGAGACAGAGAAAAUUUCACUCUGUCCUGGGGUGUCUUCUGCACCUGGGAACACGGGAACACGUGAUCUAGGAGUGACGACUGUAGUCUAGAUUACUCUAAAACGUCCUGUUGCACUUGUGGAGGGCGCACCCCAAACGUGGCAACACGGCGCUUAGGAAAUAGUGUCUUGGCAGACGUACUUAAGUUAAGGGCCUCCAUAUGAACCAUCCUGGACUAAGGCAGGCCCGUGUCCCAGGACUGGGUGCUUGUAAGACAAGGGACAGGCUCAAGACAGCGGAGGGGCCACGUGGAGGUGCGGCUGCCGUCCAGCCCUGGAGCCGGGGCUGGAACAGGCCGAGGGCGGCCGGCCAUGCAGGUGCUAGGCUUGUGCUCGGAGUGCAGAGGAAUUUCUGCUGCUGCCAACUGCCCGGGCUGUGGUCCUUGUCACAGCCAGGAAACCACAGGACCUUUCUUCCUGACCUGCUUGGCCUCUGGUAGGAGUGUGACCUCCCACUUCCUGUCCCCCACCCAGGUGCACAGAGCUGCAGGCUGGCCAGAGCAGUGGCACCCUAGAGGAGGAGGCCUUCCUGGGGAACCGGCUUUCCCAGAGAGGGAAUGCUUUGGUGAGAAAAACUGGUUCAGUGACUUCCUAAGGCUUUAAAUUUUUAAAUUUAGGAAAAGCAUGUUAUUUCAAGAUUUAAAUUUUUCAACAGCAACUGAAGUAGAAAAUAACUAAACACUGGAGGGAAGGUGAGUGCAGCGUCUCCACGGGAAUCGAUCCAGGAAGGGCCAGCGGCAGAGGGGGCCCGAGGGGUGCUUAGGGGGAGUGCUGCAUCUCUUCCAGACCCUUUGGUCAAUCUGCACUUUCUGACUUUAAAAAUGAGUCAGUUAAUCCGAGGUCCUCAGAGCAGACAUGAAGGCCCAGCUCCUGGCUGCCCAGACGGACCUGUGUGCACAGUCACUACACAGCCAUGCGGCACGGUGGCAGUGAACGUUCUAGAAC
RNAcentral lists this long non-coding RNA (1055 nucleotides) under Marmota monax (woodchuck). The record is from RNAcentral. Lineage: Eukaryota; Metazoa; Chordata; Mammalia; Rodentia; Sciuridae.